CUUUUAUUUUACAAAUCGAUAUUAUGAAUGUUGCUCUAUGAAUAUGGAUUUUGAUUGUUACUAUUUUAAAAUGUUAUAGGGUAUGCUACUAUUCUGAAAGAAACCAAUCCAUAUUCAAAAUAAAGAGUGUAUGUGCUAUUUUAGUCUUUUUCACUAUCCUUGCUAUCCUCUGUCCAUUUAACUUCACUAGUUCCACAACAACAAAUCAGUCUGACUCAGUGGAACAACAAGUCGAGAAAACAUCACAAAUUAAAUGUAUGAUGUCCUAAAUUAUAAAUCCAGAAUUUAAAUAAUGCAGUGUGGUCAAGAGUUUGGGGGUCACAGAAAAUUUAUAGUGUCAAUUUGAGUUUCUUUUAGCCAAAAUGUUUGGGAAACUCUCAGCUAAAUGUUAAAUGAGUCAACCUUAUAUAAUCCACAAAAUAGCCAAUUAGCAUGUUGUUAUUAGUUAGCCACACAACGGUAUGCUGUUCUCUAUGUUAGGAACAUUUAUUUGUAUUUAUUUGUAGUAUUUACUAUAAACGAUACUUUAUUUGCUAUGCACUGAAGACAUUUGGGUUUGAGAUGAAUGAAAGAUGACAGAUCAGAAUUUCAGUUUUAAUUUCCUGAUAUUUAUAUCUAGAUGUGUUAAACAACUAGAAGCAUGGUAAUUUUGUUUGAACCCACCCAUUUUUCAAGUGAUUUCAAGUGAUCAAAUAUAUUGGAACACGUGACUGGGAGGUGUUUCUUCUUGCCCAGGUCUUUCCUAUUAAAUUGAUUGGUUAGACAGUUAAUAGCUCUGAAUGUGUUACUCUUGGUUUGGGCCCUGGGUUUCGCCUGUGAACACUGCAUUUGUUGUUAAAAAGGAUAAACCAACACGAAGACCUGAGAGCCGUCUAUGGGAGAAAAGCGAGCCAUUUUGAAGUUGAGAUGAAAGGGAAAAUUUAUCAGAGCCAUUGCACAAGCAUUGGGCAUAGCCAGUACAACAAUUUGGAAUGUCCUGAAAAAGAAAGAAACCACUGGUGUACUGAGCAACCAGACAUGGAGCAGGUCAGCCAAGGAAAACAACAGCAGCUGAUGAAAGAAACAUUGUGUAGUCAUGAAGUAAAACCCAAAAACAACAGUGAGUGACACCUCCACAGGGCAGGGGUGAACGUAUCACAAUCCACCAUUCGAAGAAGACUUCAAGUGCAGAAAUAUUGAGUUCAUACCACAAGAUGCAAACCACUCAUCAGCAGUAAGAAUCAGAAAGCCAGAUUGGAAUUUGUAAAGAAAUACCGAGAUGAUCCACAAAAGUUCUUUAAUUGAGAUGAACCUCUGCCAAAGUGAUGGAAAGGCCAAAUUGUGGAGAAAGAAAGUAUCUGCUCAUGAUUCAAAACACACAAAUUCAUCUGUCAAGCACAGGGGAGGUAGUGUCAUGGCUUGGGCUUGCAUGGCUGCUUCUGGUACACGCUCAUUAUCUUUAUGCAUUUCUCUGUAAAUCUGCCAAUUUACAGAGAAAUGCAUCAAAUCUAAUUGGGAGGAACUUCAUCAAUAAAGGUUCAUCUUAUCUAAUCUAAUCUUAUCUUAUCUUAUCGUGCAGCAAUGACUCAAAACACACUGGCAACUCAACAAAGGACUUCAUCAGGGAAAAAAGUUGAAGGUUUUAGUAUGGCCAAGUCAAUCACCAGACCUUAACCCAGUUGAGAGAAUUUCACCUCCUGAAGAGGAGACUGAAGGGAGAACCCCUGCAAAACAAACAACAACUAAUGAAGCUCAGGGCUCUAGCGGACAUCCUCAGGCAGCAGAGUUCUGUCCCUGCCUCACAUUAUGAGCAGGAGAACAUGGCUACUAUUGAUGGUUCACCGAAAGACAGCACACCUAUACGCAGCAACAAGAACCACUACACACCUGUACACAACAAAAACAACCAUGCUGAUUUUGUCUUCAGGGAAGCAGAGGGCUGCUGAGUGUCCUGCUGCAAUGUCCCAAUUUCUACUGUCCUGUGUCACAGCCCCACUUUAAAC
This is a long non-coding RNA of Ictalurus punctatus (channel catfish), 1982 nucleotides long. Lineage: Eukaryota; Metazoa; Chordata; Actinopteri; Siluriformes; Ictaluridae. The record is from Ensembl.